AAUAAGUUUGAUUCUUUCUUUUUAAUUAAUUUUAUUAAUUUAUUACAUGAUUGUUUUUUAAUUAAUUUUUUUUUUCAGUAAUUAGGUUUAUUAAUAUAUUUAUAUAUAUAUAGAAAUUAAUUUAAGUUUGAUAAAUUUUGUGCCAGCAAUCGCGGUUAUACAAAUAUAACUAAGUUAAUUUUUUAGGUUUCAAUUAAGUUUUAAUUGAUUAUUAAAAUUUAUAAUUAAGGUGAAAUUUAUUUUCAAUUUUAUUUCUUUAUACUGAUUUAAUAAAUUUUUAUUAAAAACUAGGAUUAGAUACCCUAUUAUUAAUUAAUUGUUUUUAAUUUUCUGAAUAUUAAUAAUUAAUUAUUAUAAAACUCAAAGAAUUUGGCGGUGAAUUAAAUCUUCUUAGAGGAAUUUGUGUUUUAAUUGAUAUACCACGAUAUUUUUUACCUUAAUUCUAUUUGUAUACCGCUAUAAAAGGAGUUUUUUAAAAGAAAUAUUCUUUCAUUUUUUUUGAAAAAAUUUUAGGUCAAGGUGCAGUUUUAUUUAGGAAAAUGUGAAUUACUUUAAUUUUAAAAUAAUUUUUGAAUUUGUUUUUAAAUUAAAUAAUCAAAUAGGAUUUAAUAGUAAUUUUAAUUACUUAAUUAUUUUGAAUUAAGUUCUAAUUUAUGUACAUAUCGCCCGUCGCUCUCAAUAGAAUGGGAUAAGUCGUAACAAAGUAAUUGUACUGGAAAGUGUAAUUAGGAUUAUUA
Molecule: non-coding RNA, 737 nt
Filed under: Carinata rufipenna
Lineage: Eukaryota; Metazoa; Arthropoda; Insecta; Hemiptera; Cicadellidae
Source: RNAcentral